Molecule: ribosomal RNA, 443 nt
Filed under: uncultured bacterium
Lineage: Bacteria
Description: SSU rRNA
Rfam family: Bacterial small subunit ribosomal RNA
Source: RNAcentral
AGAACGAACGCUGGCGGCAUGCCUAACACAUGCAAGUCGAACGAGACCUUCGGGUCUAGUGGCGCACGGGUGCGUAACGCGUGGGAAUCUGCCCUUGGGUUCGGAAUAACAGUUAGAAAUGACUGCUAAUACCGGAUGAUGUCUUCGGACCAAAGAUUUAUCGCCCAAGGAUGAGCCCGCGUAAGAUUAGCUAGUUGGUAGGGUAAAGGCCUACCAAGGCUACGAUCUUUAGCUGGUCUGAGAGGAUGAUCAGCCACACUGGGACUGAGACACGGCCCAGACUCCUACGGGAGGCAGCAGUGGGGAAUAUUGGACAAUGGGCGAAAGCCUGAUCCAGCAAUGCCGCGUGAGUGAUGAAGGCCUUAGGGUUGUAAAGCUCUUUUACCGGGAUGAUAAUGACAGUACCGGAGAAUAAGCUCCGGCUAACUCCGUGCCAGCAGCCG